This 447-nucleotide ribosomal RNA is filed under the name Hypodytes rubripinnis (redfin waspfish). Its description in RNAcentral is "partial 12S rRNA". It matches the Rfam family "Bacterial small subunit ribosomal RNA", at positions 211 to 916 of the family's 1533-position model. Lineage: Eukaryota; Metazoa; Chordata; Actinopteri; Perciformes; Tetrarogidae. The record is from RNAcentral.
GUUCCCUGACCGGGAACAAGGAGCUGGUAUCAGGCACUUAACAUUUAGCCCACGACACCUUGCUUAGCCACACCCUCAAGGGAACUCAGCAGUGAUAAACAUUAAGCCAUAAGUGAAAACUUGACUUAGUUAAAGUUAAGAGGGCCGGUAAAACUCGUGCCAGCCACCGCGGUUAAACGAGAGGCCCAAGUUGAUAAACAUCGGCGUAAAGCGUGGUUAAAGAAUAAGUACACUAAGACCGAAUACUUUUAGUGCUGUUAUACGUAUUCAAGAGUUAGAAGUCCAACUACGAAAGUGGUCUUAAUCAAAUAUUGAACCCACGAAAGCUAUGAUACAAACUGGGAUUAGAUACCCCACUAUGCUUAGCCGUAAACAUUGAUAGUCCCCUACACCUACUAUCCGCCCGGGUACUACGAGCGUCAGCUUAAAACCCAAAGGACUUGGCGG